RNAcentral lists this ribosomal RNA (1163 nucleotides) under Pediococcus ethanolidurans. RNAcentral's name for it is "bacterial SSU rRNA". It matches the Rfam family "Bacterial small subunit ribosomal RNA", at positions 50 to 1186 of the family's 1533-position model. The record is from RNAcentral. Lineage: Bacteria; Bacillati; Bacillota; Bacilli; Lactobacillales; Lactobacillaceae.
CACUUUCGUUAAUUGAUUUUGAGAUGCUUGCAUCGAAGAUGAUUUUAACUAUAAAGUGAGUGGCGAACGGGUGAGUAACACGUGGGUAACCUGCCCAGAAGUGGGGGAUAACACCUGGAAACAGAUGCUAAUACCGCAUAACAAAAUUAACCGCAUGGUUGAUUUUAAAAAGAUGGCUUCGGCUAUCACUUCUGGAUGGACCCGCGGCGUAUUAGCUAGUUGGUGAGAUAAAGGCUCACCAAGGCAGUGAUACGUAGCCGACCUGAGAGGGUAAUCGGCCACAUUGGGACUGAGACACGGCCCAGACUCCUACGGGAGGCAGCAGUAGGGAAUCUUCCACAAUGGACGCAAGUCUGAUGGAGCAACGCCGCGUGAGUGAUGAAGGCUUUCGGGUCGUAAAACUCUGUUGUUGGAGAAGAACGUGUGUGAGAGUAACUGCUCAUGCAGUGACGGUAUCCAACCAGAAAGCCACGGCUAACUACGUGCCAGCAGCCGCGGUAAUACGUAGGUGGCAAGCGUUAUCCGGAUUUAUUGGGCGUAAAGCGAGCGCAGGCGGUCUUUUAAGUCUAAUGUGAAAGCCUUCGGCUUAACCGAAGAAGUGCAUUGGAAACUGGGAGACUUGAGUGCAGAAGAGGAGAGUGGAACUCCAUGUGUAGCGGUGAAAUGCGUAGAUAUAUGGAAGAACACCAGUGGCGAAGGCGGCUCUCUGGUCUGCAACUGACGCUGAGGCUCGAAAGCAUGGGUAGCGAACAGGAUUAGAUACCCUGGUAGUCCAUGCCGUAAACGAUGAAUGCUAAGUGUUGGAGGGUUUCCGCCCUUCAGUGCUGCAGCUAACGCAUUAAGCAUUCCGCCUGGGGAGUACGACCGCAAGGUUGAAACUCAAAAGAAUUGACGGGGGCCCGCACAAGCGGUGGAGCAUGUGGUUUAAUUCGAAGCUACGCGAAGAACCUUACCAGGUCUUGACAUCUUCUGCUAACCUAAGAGAUUAGGCGUUCCCUUCGGGGACGGAAUGACAGGUGGUGCAUGGUUGUCGUCAGCUCGUGUCGGGAGAUGUUGGGUUAAGUCCCGCAACGAGCGCAACCCUUAUUAUUAGUUGCCAGCAUUAAGUUGGGCACUCUAUUGAGACUGCCGGUGACAAACCGGAGGAAGGGGGGGACGACGUC